GACGAACGCUGGCGGCGUGCCUAAUACAUGCAAGUAGAACGCUGAAGAGAGGAGCUUGCUCUUCUUGGAUGAGUUGCGAACGGGUGAGUAACGCGUAGGUAACCUGCCUUGUAGCGGGGGAUAACUAUUGGAAACGAUAGCUAAUACCGCAUAACAAUGGAUGACACAUGUCAUUUAUUUGAAAGGGGCAAAUGCUCCACUACAAGAUGGACCUGCGUUGUAUUAGCUAGUAGGUGAGGUAACGGCUCACCUAGGCGACGAUACAUAGCCGACCUGAGAGGGUGAUCGGCCACACUGGGACUGAGACACGGCCCAGACCCCUACGGGAGGCAGCAGUAGGGAAUCUUCGGCAAUGGGGGCAACCCUGACCGAGCAACGCCGCGUGAGUGAAGAAGGUUUUCGGAUCGUAAAGCUCUGUUGUAAGUCAAGAACGAGUGUGAGAGUGGAAAGUUCACACUGUGACGGUAGCUUACCAGAAAGGGACGGCUAACUACGUGCCAGCAGCCGCGGUAAUACGUAGGUCCCGAGCGUUGUCCGGAUUUAUUGGGCGUAAAGCGAGCGCAGGCGGUUUGAUAAGUCUGAAGUUAAAGGCUGUGGCUCAACCAUAGUUCGCUUUGGAAAUUGUCAAACUUGAGUGCAGAAGGGGAGAGUGGAAUUCCAUGUGUAGCGGUGAAAUGCGUAGAUAUAUGGAGGAACACCGGUGGCGAAAGCGGCUCUCUGGUCUGUAACUGACGCUGAGGCUCGAAAGCGUGGGGAGCGAACAGGAUUAGAUACCCUGGUAGUCCACGCCGUAAACGAUGAGUGCUAGGUGUUGGAUCCUUUCCGGGAUUCAGUGCCGCAGCUAACGCAUUAAGCACUCCGCCUGGGGAGUACGACCGCAAGGUUGAAACUCAAAGGAAUUGACGGGGGCCCGCACAAGCGGUGGAGCAUGUGGUUUAAUUCGAAGCAACGCGAAGAACCUUACCAGGUCUUGACAUCCCGAUGCUAUUUCUAGAGAUAGAAAGUUACUUCGGUACAUCGGUGACAGGUGGUGCAUGGUUGUCGUCAGCUCGUGUCGUGAGAUGUUGGGUUAAGUCCCGCAACGAGCGCAACCCCUAUUGUUAGUUGCCAUCAUUCAGUUGGGCACUCUAGCGAGACUGCCGGUAAUAAACCGGAGGAAGGUGGGGAUGACGUCAAAUCAUCAUGCCCCUUAUGACCUGGGCUACACACGUGCUACAAUGGUUGGUACAACGAGUUGCGAGUCGGUGACGGCAAGCUAAUCUCUUAAAGCCAAUCUCAGUUCGGAUUGUAGGCUGCAACUCGCCUACAUGAAGUCGGAAUCGCUAGUAAUCGCGGAUCAGCACGCCGCGGUGAAUACGUUCCCGGGCCU
This 1369-nucleotide ribosomal RNA is filed under the name uncultured bacterium. RNAcentral describes it as "bacterial SSU rRNA". It matches the Rfam family "Bacterial small subunit ribosomal RNA", at positions 28 to 1381 of the family's 1533-position model. The record is from RNAcentral.